AACAGCUCCUUUGAAAUUACUCCUAUUUAAGAAGAAAAAUCAUAUUACUUUCUUAAUCUUUCUAAUUCUAUUCUCAUAAGAUGAUCUUGGAUUUGUUCCUUUAGCACAGACUCUUUAGUGCAGUCCUGAUUUCUGUAUUAAUGAAUUGAGAAGAUGACAUCAGGCUCUUAGUUCUACUGGUGGAUGUAUGACACGUAGAGUUGUCCACAGAGGUAUUCCUGUUGAGGAAGAAGAUGGAGGGGGGCUGGAGCCUGGGAAGGCAAACUAUGACAACAAGAGCCACCAAGCGAAGGAAAGAGAAACAGUGACGGAGGCUAAGCAUGAAUUUCCAACAUAACCAUCAGUCUGACUUCGGCUU
RNAcentral lists this long non-coding RNA (358 nucleotides) under Calidris pugnax (ruff). RNAcentral's name for it is "lncRNA (ENSCPUG00000009072.1)". The record is from RNAcentral. Lineage: Eukaryota; Metazoa; Chordata; Aves; Charadriiformes; Scolopacidae.